Molecule: long non-coding RNA, 523 nt
Organism: Cucumis melo (muskmelon)
Lineage: Eukaryota; Viridiplantae; Streptophyta; Magnoliopsida; Cucurbitales; Cucurbitaceae
Exons: 2
Source: RefSeq, a predicted model, not a curated record
CCGUUACAAAAGACCUAAAAGAUUUUUUUUUAUUCGUUAAGAGAGUGUAAAGAGUUGAGUUACUACUGAGAGAGUUCUAGACGAGGAGAAGUAUUCGAGGAAGGAAAUGACCAAAAGCUUUUGUGAGUGACUUUCUUAAACCCGGGUGACUUUCUUAAACUGUAUACUCUUCUGUCAUCAGGUGUUGAGGUCAAGUAAGAAGAGGUAGGAUGGGUUGUGGGACAUGAAAGUUGAUCAAGUUAUCCGCCUUUAGACGGUUUAAAGUUAUUAUGUCUAAGGGGCAUUGCAGCACAACUUUGUGCAUAGGCUGAGUCUUGUCUGGAGAUAGAUUGCUAGGCGAGCAAGAAGAAGGAUAAGAAAGGGGUGCUUAUACUCCUAAACACCUUGGCAUGAAGAGUGAGAAUCCAGUGAGCAAAGGAAGACAUGAAGCUUAGGAUUUAGGUUUCAUCUAAGUGGCUUGCGAGGAAGAGAUGUAUUUGUAAAGUUUUAAACCAAGUAACAAAUCAUAGCGUGUUUUCUAUUA